GCCUCUACAUGUAAGCUAUCACUGAAGGAGGGGAUUGCGUUUGAUUAGCUAGUUGGAGGGGUAACGGCCCACCAAGGCGAUGAUCAGUAGCCGGUCUGAGAGGAUGAACGGCCACAUUGGGACUGAGACACGGCCCAGACUCCUACGGGAGGCAGCAGUGGGGAAUCUUCCGCAAUGGACGAAAGUCUGACGGAGUAACGCCGCGUGAGUGAUGACGGCCUUCGGGUUGUAAAGCUCUGUUAAUCGGGACGAAAGGCCUUCUUGCGAAUAGUGAGAAGGAUUGACGUACCGGAAUAGAAGCCCCGCACCCC
RNAcentral lists this ribosomal RNA (311 nucleotides) under Veillonella parvula. RNAcentral's name for it is "bacterial SSU rRNA". It matches the Rfam family "Bacterial small subunit ribosomal RNA", at positions 197 to 504 of the family's 1533-position model. The record is from RNAcentral. Lineage: Bacteria; Bacillati; Bacillota; Negativicutes; Veillonellales; Veillonellaceae.